Molecule: ribosomal RNA, 741 nt
Filed under: uncultured bacterium
Lineage: Bacteria
Description: bacterial SSU rRNA
Rfam family: Bacterial small subunit ribosomal RNA
Source: RNAcentral
AGAAAUGACUGCUAAUACCGCAUAUGCCUUAGUAUCGCAUGAUACAAAAGGGAAAGGAGCAAUCCGCUGAUAGAUGGGCUUGCGUCUGAUUAGCUAGUUGGUGGGGUAAAGGCCUACCAAGGCGACGAUCAGUAGCCGGACUGAGAGGUUGAACGGCCACAUUGGGACUGAGAUACGGCCCAGACUCCUACGGGAGGCAGCAGUCGGGAAUAUUGCGCAAUGGAGGAAACUCUGACGCAGUGACGCCGCGUGCAGGAAGAAGGUUUUCGGAUUGUAAACUGCUUUAGACAGGUUUUAAACAAGACAGUACCUGUAGAAUAAGCUCCGGCUAACUACGUGCCAGCAGCCGCGGUAAUACGUAGGGAGCAAGCGUUAUCCGGAUUUAUUGGGUGUAAAGGGUGCGUAGACGGGAAGGCAAGUUGGUUGUGAAAUCCCUCGGCUUAACUGAGGAACUGCAACCAAAACUAUCUUUCUUGAGUGCUGGAGAGGAAAGUGGAAUUCCUAGUGUAGCGGUGAAAUGCGUAGAUAUUAGGAGGAACACCAGUGGCGAAAGCGACUUUCUGGACAGUAACUGACGUUGAGGCACGAAAGUGUGGGGAGCAAACAGGAUUAGAUACCCUGGUAGUCCACACCGUANACGAUGAAUACUCGCUGUUUGCGAUAUACAGUAAGCGGCCAAGCGAAAGCAUUAAGUAUUCCACCUGGGGAGUACGCCGGCAACGGUGAAACUCAAAGGAAUUG